RNAcentral lists this long non-coding RNA (1089 nucleotides) under Homo sapiens (human). Its description in RNAcentral is "long non-coding RNA NONHSAT160503.1". Lineage: Eukaryota; Metazoa; Chordata; Mammalia; Primates; Hominidae. The record is from RNAcentral.
GCAGGUUGGGCUGCGGCGGCGGCGGCAGCUGUGGAAGCUCAGGCGCUGCGCGUGAGAGGUCCCAGAUACGUCUGCGGUUCCGGCUCCGCCACCCUCAGCUUCUCUUCCCCAGGUCUGGGAGCCGAGUGCGGAAGGAGGGAACGGCCCUAGCUUUGGGAAGCCAGAGGACACCCCUGGCUCCUGCCGACACCGCCCUCCUUCCCUUCCCAGCCGCGGGCCUCGCUCGGUGCUAGGCUACUCUGCCGGGAGGCGGCGGCGGCUGCCAGUCUGUGGAGAGUCCUGCUGCCCUCCAGCCGGGCUCCUCCACCGGGCCUUGCAGGGGCCGAGAGAGCUCGGUGCCCGCCCUUCCGCUCGCCUUUUUCGUCAGCUGGCUGGAGCAGCAUCGGUCCGGGAGGUCUCUAGGCUGAGGCGGCGGCCGCUCCUCUAGUUCCACAAUGUCCACGGGCGGAGACUUCGGGAAUCCGCUGAGGAAAUUCAAGCUGGUGUUCCUGGGGGAGCAAAGCGUUGGAAAGACAUCUUUGAUCACCAGAUUCAUGUAUGACAGUUUUGACAACACCUAUCAGGCAACAAUUGGCAUUGACUUUUUAUCAAAAACUAUGUACUUGGAGGAUCGAACAGUGAGUAAUAUUUUCAGUGUGCAAUUUUCUGCAACAUUCCAGGUUAGAAAACUGCAAUCAAAGUUAUCAAUGAUUGUCACCAUAAGAAGUACUUAGCAAAGUUACCAAAGAUAGUUUACAGUUGUUGAGAAAAACUCUUAUUACCGAGUGAGUAGUACUUGGCAGUCAUCUUGAUUUGGAAAAAUGAAAACAAAGAGCUUUACAGAGAAUUAAAGGAGAAUUUUUAUGAAGAAAUUAAACCUGCUAAAGACCUUCUAAAUGCCACCCUUGAGGCAUUCAAAAAGAUUUCAAUUUGUGAACUUCAAGAUUUUUUUUGUCAGGAUAGGAUGCGUAUCAAAGUGACUGACAAAAAAGAAGUUAUGUGGGCAGGGUGCGGUGGCUCACACCUGUAAUCCCAGCACUUUGGGAGGCUGAGGCAGGUGGAUCAUCUGAGGUCAGGAGUUUGAGACCAGCUUGGCCAACAUGAUGAAAC